RNAcentral lists this ribosomal RNA (301 nucleotides) under uncultured bacterium. RNAcentral describes it as "partial 16S ribosomal RNA". It matches the Rfam family "Bacterial small subunit ribosomal RNA", at positions 509 to 808 of the family's 1533-position model. The record is from RNAcentral.
CAGUAGCCGCGGUAAUACGUAGGUCCCGAGCGUUGUCCGGAUUUAUUGGGCGUAAAGCGAGCGCAGGCGGUUAGAUAAGUCUGAAGUUAAAGGCUGUGGCCUAACCAUAGUACGCUUUGGAAACUGUUUAACUUGAGUGCAAGAGGGGAGAGUGGAAUUCCAUGUGUAGCGGUGAAAUGCGUAGAUAUAUGGAGGAACACCGGUGGCGAAAGCGGCUCUCUGGCUUGUAACUGACGCUGAGGCUCGAAAGCGUGGGGAGCAAACAGGAUUAGAUACCCCCGUAGUCCCUGUCUCUUAUACA